RNAcentral lists this ribosomal RNA (482 nucleotides) under uncultured bacterium. Its description in RNAcentral is "partial 16S ribosomal RNA". It matches the Rfam family "Bacterial small subunit ribosomal RNA", at positions 28 to 507 of the family's 1533-position model. The record is from RNAcentral.
GACGAACGCUGGCGGCGUGCUUAACACAUGCAAGUCGAACGCUGAAGCUCAGCUUGCUGGGUGGAUGAGUGGCGAACGGGUGAGUAACACGUGAGUAACCUGCCCUCUUCUUUGGGAUAACGCCCGGAAACGGGUGCUAAUACUGGAUAUUCACUGAUUCUCGCCUGGGGGUUGGUGGAAAGGUUUUUUCUGGUGGGGGAUGGGCUCGCGGCCUAUCAGCUUGUUGGUGGGGUGAUGGCCUACCAAGGCUUUGACGGGUAGCCGGCCUGAGAGGGUGACCGGUCACAUUGGGACUGAGAUACGGCCCAGACUCCUACGGGAGGCAGCAGUGGGGAAUAUUGCACAAUGGGCGAAAGCCUGAUGCAGCGACGCCGCGUGAGGGAUGGAGGCCUUCGGGGUGUAAACCUCUUUCGCUCAUGGUCAAGCCGCAGCUUUGGGUUGUGGUGAGGGUAGUGGGUAAAGAAGCGCCGGCUAACUACGUG